This 520-nucleotide ribosomal RNA is filed under the name uncultured bacterium. RNAcentral describes it as "bacterial SSU rRNA". It matches the Rfam family "Bacterial small subunit ribosomal RNA", at positions 57 to 578 of the family's 1533-position model. The record is from RNAcentral.
GCAAGUCGAACGGAGCUGUUUUGAUGAAGUUUUCGGAUGGAUUUAAAACAGCUUAGUGGCGGACGGGUGAGUAACGCGUGGGUAACCUGCCUCACACUGGGGGAUAACAGUUAGAAAUAGCUGCUAAUACCGCAUAAGCGCACGGUUCCGCAUGGAACAGUGUGAAAAACUCCGGUGGUGUGAGAUGGACCCGCGUCUGAUUAGCCAGUUGGCGGGGUAACGGCCCACCAAAGCGACGAUCAGUAGCCGGCCUGAGAGGGUGAACGGCCACAUUGGGACUGAGACACGGCCCAAACUCCUACGGGAGGCAGCAGUGGGGAAUAUUGCACAAUGGGGGAAACCCUGAUGCAGCGACGCCGCGUGAGUGAAGAAGUAUUUCGGUAUGUAAAGCUCUAUCAGCAGGGAAGAAAGUGACGGUACCUGAAUAAGAAGCCCCGGCUAACUACGUGCCAGCAGCCGCGGUAAUACGUAGGGGGCAAGCGUUAUCCGGAUUUACUGGGUGUAAAGGGAGCGUAGACGG